UUUUUGAUUGACUUAAUUUUUUUAUUAUCAUAAUACGUUUCAUAACUAUAAUAUGUAUACAAAAAUAUAAACAGACAUACAUACAAACAUACAUACAUGCAUGCAUACAUAACUUAAUCAUAACAUACAAUUUGACGAUAUUUGGAAAUUACAAACUUCAAUAAGUAUAUAUAUAUAAAAACAUGUACCACAGGAAUCUGUGAGUAACACAAGUCACAAAAAUCACUUAGUACUUGGGUUAGCUAAUAUCUAACCUAUAUUACUAUUGAUUAUAAAUGUUGGACUUGAAUUUUAAUAUCUUUUAAAAGAAUAAAUAAGGGAAAUAAUUCAAUAUUUGAAUAGAAAAAAUAAACCUGCAAUUCAUAGAUGUGUUAAAGUUAUGCAUACUAAAAUAAAAGCACUUAUACACCUAUAUGCCUAAAUAAAAUUUGGUAACAUUUUUUUUCAUCAAAUUUUUAAUUCAAAUUUUAGCGAAAUUUAGCAAAAUAUUUAUUCAAAAAAAUAAUCUACUCUUAAUAUUUUUUUUUAAUAUUCAAAGAUACAGACAAUAAAAACUAUAGAUACGCUAAAUAAAGGAUUAGACUUUGGAAUAAAGCACCACAUAUGUAAAAUAUUAAAAAUUGAUCUGUUGAAUAUUAAAAAGAUUUACAAGUACUUACAAAAUAACAAUAAUUAUUGAGACCAAGUAAAAUAAAAACGUAACUGCAGUCGGUUUUAUUAUACUGAAGAAACUCACCAAUAAAUUAAUGGUAUAAUAAAUAUUGUGUCCUAUAACUUUACAUUUUUUUGAUGUCAUUAUCUUAACUUUUAUUAUAGGUACUUGUAAACUAAUUUCAGUCUCUUUCUCAUUAAAAUAUUAUUAAAGUCUUUUUUUUAUUCCAUAAAAGUUUCCGUUAUAAUAAAUAAACUACACAGUAGGUAUAACUGAAAUUUAAAAAAAAAUCGGAUUUUUAUGAUCUGCAUAUAUUAUAUUUUCAUUAUUAUUAAACACCGUAAUGGAAUGUUAAAAUAUGAAUGAACAAUUAAUUAGACUGAUAAUAAUUCAGCCUAAAAAUGUAACUUAGCUUACUUACCUGUAAUCAGGUACUGAUAUUUUAAAUAAUUAUAGCUAAAUAAUAUGGAAGUUAGAAGAUAUCAAAAAGACCUUAAAAUUAAUUAAAAUAAAGUAAAGAAGCAAAAAUUAAAUCAACAAUUUGACAUCAAAAAAACUAAUGAACUGGGUGGACUUACAGAAGAUUUUUACAGAAAUAAUAAAUAAUAAUUAGUACUAGAUAUUUAGCCAUUUAAUUUUUAAAUGUGUAAGCAUAGAAUAAAAUUAUGCAAUAGUAUUUACAGUAUAGUUUUCAAAUCAUUUUCUUCAAUUUUUAUAAAUAUAUAUAGUUUUAAAUCAAUGAAUUUUAAUAUUAUAAUCAAUAGAUCAGUAAUAUUAUACUCCGAACUUGAACAACAAAUUUUGUAAAAACCAAUAUUCAAUGUUUUCUUUUCAAUGGUUAUUAUUUUGUAAAUUGUAUUCAUAAUUUUCAAGAUUAGCCUAGCAUUAAAAAUAUCCAGUUUUAGUGUUGUUAAUUUAUUUUUGUAUUGGACUCUUUUUCUUCAAUUUACCCUGUGUAUUUGAUUUUUUUGGAAUAAAUUGUUAACACAUCUAUAUUUGAAUAAUCUCCAAUAAGUCCACCUGUUAUACUAUUGCAUACAACAAUCUGUUCUAUAUUUUUUUUUUAUUUAUGUAAUAAUUGUUAUUAUUGUAAACAAUGUUGUAAUGGAUUUUUUUUAUUCAAUGAGAUCACAUUAGUUUGUAAGCAUAGUAUGGAAAGUAAUUUGAUAAUUUGGUGUUCAAUACACAACUGCAUAUUAUGUACGUAAGCAACAAAGUUGAAAGAAAAUACUUUUAAUAUUACUUAAUAUUAGAUACAUUAUACAGAAAUUGACUUGAUUCUUUCAAAAUUAUUAGUAAAUGCAAACCCAACAAGUUUUCUAUGAAUUUAUAUGUAUUUUUUUUAAAUAUUUAAGUAUUAUUUUUGUAUAAACUAAAUUGCAUACCUUUUUUUGAUUAUUAUGAUAUUAUGUUCAUACACUCAAUUAUACUAUUCAUAAGAAUUUUUACUCUAAAAUAUUUAGCAACAAUAAUAUGAUUGAAAAAUUAUGUUAUUUUAGUCUGAAAUUAUUAUAAUUUAUUUUUAAUUUUUUUCCCCCAUUGGUUAUGGAAGUGGUUAAAUUAAGUAGGUAGUUAUUAAAGUAAACCAUACCUACAUACACAUGUAUUGUUAUUUCUGGUACUGGGUGGCAUUACAGGGUGAGUAAAAAAGUAAAAAUAUUACAAUGACUUA
This is a non-coding RNA of Cinara cedri, 2324 nucleotides long. The record is from the annotation of a GenBank genome assembly. NCBI's taxonomy places the organism in Eukaryota, Metazoa, Arthropoda, Insecta, Hemiptera, Aphididae.